GUCUAGCCGAAUGAAUCGCCUCAAAAAUGUUCAGUUGCAAGGAAAAUGAAAGCCCCUAAGUCUGCCAGCUCUAUUAACAGGCAACUGAGUGAUAAAAGGCUGGGACCUGCAACCCAAAACAAAGCAGCUUCCCAAAGUUUCAGCAAGCUGAGCAAAGCGUUGUCUUCGGGGAAAAAGUGAGGAUCGAUCUUCAGCCAAUUUCUGAGUCAUCUGAAGCCAGAUCGGGCGCUGCAGCCCAGAAUGUGCUUGAAAGAGAACAGUCCCACACUGGCAGAGGGGCGGAUUCGGUGACCUCAUCAUGUCCCUCUUCCACAGCUAAGAUUGGAGAUCAUCCCAUACAGAAAAGUAACAGCAGUCCAUCCCCACCUCCACCACAGAUAGCCUCAGCUGGGGUAAUUACAAAACACUGUCUAAUUGAAAAGCAUCUACAGCAAGGAUCUGCAAAGAGCAGCUAUUCGUUCCUGGGUCCGUGGUUAGGGAGGUGGCAGGCACAGCGCUUGGUUCCAGUCACACCCUCGAAAGAAACCUUCCUAUAAGCUCUUCUUAUUGGAUGUAAAAGUUAUUUCCACUUCUGGGUGCAAUUCAGGAAGCGGGUGAUGUCUGACAGAGUGAUCUUACAGAAUGAAAGCCAAAAAUGAUCUCACUCAAAUUAGUCUAAUAGGGGAUGGCUCCGUUCUGAUGCAGGUUCUGUGGUUUCACAGGUGUCAUCAAUAUGGCAAAGCCCGAGUAAGCCGUGCUCUGAGCAGGGCUUGGAAAUUCACAGGUGCUUCUUCUGUAGCAAAAUGCUUUCCACCGUCCUUAUCUCAUGUUCUUCCACAGUCUGUCUGAAGCUACUAUGACUCUGAUAUAAAAAAACAGAAUGAAAAGGUUGGAACUCCAAAUGUGUUUAAGCAAUUAAGUUUACGUGGUCGCACUAAAUCCAGCUAAUUCUUUGUAAGGGAAGCCAGGCUGAUGACUGGCCCCACCCUAGGUAACCAGCUUCACUUGGGAUCGCUGCAGCACAUAUUUAAGCAGGAAAGCAGCCAAGCAACCCCCCUCAGAAGACAGUCAGUUGUUUCUGUUCCUUCUGCUGUGGGUAACCAGGCUUCCUCUUGUAGGGACAGCUAAGGACAGAGCAGUGCGCCAGCCUUUGGGGGUGGGAGAGUUGUGAACUGAAGAUCUAUUUAUGUUCUGCUGCACAAGAAAAUGAGCUCAUUCUUAGGUUGAAGAGAGCUCCAAGAACUGGAGAACCAACAGCUGCGAGCCCACCAGAAAGUGAAUUGGAAGCUUUCAGGAAGAUGGAGGAUACCAGCUCUACUGGCCCCUUCUGUUUGAUACCUUGGGCACAACCAUGUUUCUGAUGGUCUGUCACCACUGGAAUUGCUGACACUUGGAAAAUCAGCAGUGAAACUUCGGCAGAGGGCAAGGAAAGGAAGCGUGUUCAGAAGUCACAUCACUUUCCAGCCAUUGGAAGCGUCAGCGUUUUGCCAUCCAAAGGGCCUGGAAAAGCACCGCAGUCGCUGACGGCAGCGCAGGCAGAUCCAUGGGACUGCUCCAUGGAGCACCAGCAGCUUCUCCAGCCGACAGGAAUGCAAGCAGGCUCCAAAUGCAUCAGUAUUAAGGAACUAAAAACACGCGCGGAAAAAUUCACGCUGCGAAAGAACAUGGCUACUGAAGUUUCCAACAUCCCACCAGUAACUGCUGAAUGGCAAUUAAGACAGAGCACACCGGUGUCCCAUGCUUGUGCUGAAAAGCUCUUAGGAGCAGCAGGUGCUUCCCUGGGCAGGGCAAGUCAUGCCAGGCUCUGGACUUGUGCUUUAAAUUUCAUGGGCUUGCAAACAGAUUUUGUCUUCGGAGCAGCUGUUUAAUUUACAAGGAAGAGGACAAGGCAGAACUGCAAAACCUAACAUCGAUUCUCUUUUCGUAACAGGAUUAAGAGCCUGAUGAGUGCAAGGCAGCAAAUUCCUCCUUCAGAAGGACCAUUAGAGAUGAGAAACAGCUUCCCUGAACACCAGACACAGACCUCUCCCAUCUUGCUGCAGUGUUCCCCAUUCUCUAACAACCACCUGACAUUAAGCACUUUAAUUUUUUUGUGCUUAAGGCCACUGGAUUAGUCUUUUUUUCAGCAUCAUUA
Molecule: long non-coding RNA, 2113 nt
Organism: Numida meleagris (helmeted guineafowl)
Lineage: Eukaryota; Metazoa; Chordata; Aves; Galliformes; Numididae
Exons: 3
Source: RefSeq, a predicted model, not a curated record